GAUGAACGCUGGCGGCGUGCCUAAUACAUGCAAGUCGAGCGAACAGACGAGGAGCUUGCUCCUCUGACGUUAGCGGCGGACGGGUGAGUAACACGUGGAUAACCUACCUAUAAGACUGGGAUAACUUCGGGAAACCGGAGCUAAUACCGGAUAAUAUAUUGAACCGCAUGGUUCAAUAGUGAAAGACGGUUUUGCUGUCACUUAUAGAUGGAUCCGCGCCGCAUUAGCUAGUUGGUAAGGUAACGGCUUACCAAGGCAACGAUGCGUAGCCGACCUGAGAGGGUGAUCGGCCACACUGGAACUGAGACACGGUCCAGACUCCUACGGGAGGCAGCAGUAGGGAAUCUUCCGCAAUGGGCGAAAGCCUGACGGAGCAACGCCGCGUGAGUGAUGAAGGUCUUUGGAUCGUAAAACUCUGUUAUUAGGGAAGAACAAAUGUGUAAGUAACUAUGCACGUCUUGACGGUACCUAAUCAGAAAGCCACGGCUAACUACG
Molecule: ribosomal RNA, 495 nt
Filed under: uncultured bacterium
Lineage: Bacteria
Description: partial 16S ribosomal RNA
Rfam family: Bacterial small subunit ribosomal RNA
Source: RNAcentral